Carassius auratus (goldfish) is the source of this 444-nucleotide long non-coding RNA. RefSeq lists it as uncharacterized. NCBI's taxonomy places the organism in Eukaryota, Metazoa, Chordata, Actinopteri, Cypriniformes, Cyprinidae. The record is from RefSeq and is a predicted model, not a curated record. The transcript is spliced from 3 exons.
UGGGCUGUUUGUCUUGAAGCCAGGCCCUCUCUCACGCUCCACUGAACACUAUAGAGUCGCUCUCAUGAGAGGAAGUCUGUUCCUCUCUGAUCAUCCUUCUGCUGCAGUGCUCCCUGAGGCAUGGAGAGAUAUACAGACACACGGGGAACUCAGUCUGUGGUGCGCAUGACGAGUCAGAGGCGGGAACUGAUUCAUGAGAGGAAACCAUAGCAACGUCUCAACUAUGCUGGUGGCAAGACAUGCUAGACUCCUUCACCAAAAACACAUUUACGUAAUCUGUUCCCAGCGCUAGGAAUGUGAAUCCUGCCCUGCAUUCCCGUGCUUGCAGAUCUGUGGGAACGGGUCACCCAGGUUUCAGUCUGUAGAACGUGGGAUUUCUUGUAAAUAAGAUCGUACAUCAUUGCCAAAUGUUCUUUUUUUCUUGUCCAUCAUUGCUUCUGAGCA